Molecule: non-coding RNA, 116 nt
Filed under: Halalkalibacter akibai
Lineage: Bacteria; Bacillati; Bacillota; Bacilli; Caryophanales; Bacillaceae
Also listed under: 1 other name
Description: Bacillus akibai SAM-I sequence
Rfam family: SAM riboswitch aptamer (S box leader)
About the family: The SAM riboswitch is found upstream of a number of genes which code for proteins involved in methionine or cysteine biosynthesis in Gram-positive bacteria. The SAM riboswitch acts at the level of transcription termination control.
Source: RNAcentral
AACUUAUCUAGAGAGGCGGAGGGACUGACCCUACGAAGCCCAGCAACCGUUUUGCAUUAGCCAUGCAAAAAAAGGUGCUAAAUUCAGCAGAAUGACUUUAUUCUGAAAGAUAAGAA